GGGUGCUAUACAUGCAAGUCGAGCGGACAGAUGGGAGCUUGCUCCCUGAUGUUAGCGGCGGACGGGUGAGUAACACGUGGGUAACCUGCCUGUAAGACUGGGAUAACUCCGGGAAACCGGGGCUAAUACCGGAUGGUUGUUUGAACCGCAUGGUUCAAACAUAAAAGGUGGCUUCGGCUACCACUUACAGAUGGACCCGCGGCGCAUUAGCUAGUUGGUGAGGUAACGGCUCACCAAGGCAACGAUGCGUAGCCGACCUGAGAGGGUGAUCGGCCACACUGGGACUGAGACACGGCCCAGACUCCUACGGGAGGCAGCAGUAGGGAAUCUUCCGCAAUGGACGAAAGUCUGACGGAGCAACGCCGCGUGAGUGAUGAAGGUUUUCGGAUCGUAAAGCUCUGUUGUUAGGGAAGAACAAGUACCGUUCGAAUAGGGCGGUACCUUGACGGUACCUAACCAGAAAGCCACGGCUAACUACGUGCCAGCAGCCGCGGUAAUAC
RNAcentral lists this ribosomal RNA (500 nucleotides) under Bacillus sp. TN51. RNAcentral describes it as "bacterial SSU rRNA". It matches the Rfam family "Bacterial small subunit ribosomal RNA", at positions 44 to 526 of the family's 1533-position model. The record is from RNAcentral. Lineage: Bacteria; Bacillati; Bacillota; Bacilli; Caryophanales; Bacillaceae.